Molecule: ribosomal RNA, 398 nt
Filed under: Acanthamoeba sp. MMN-2011/T4
Lineage: Eukaryota; Discosea; Longamoebia; Acanthamoebidae
Description: SSU rRNA
Rfam family: Eukaryotic small subunit ribosomal RNA (bases 1-352)
Source: RNAcentral
CCAAUUUUCUGCCACCGAAUACAUUAGCAUGGGAUAAUGGAAUAGGACCCUGUCCUCCUAUUUUCAGUUGGUUUUGGCAGCGCGAGGACUAGGGUAAUGAUUAAUAGGGAUAGUUGGGGGCAUUAAUAUUUAAUUGUCAGAGGUGAAAUUCUUGGAUUUAUGAAAGAUUAACUUCUGCGAAAGCAUCUGCCAAGGAUGUUUUCAUUAAUCAAGAACGAAAGUUAGGGGAUCGAAGACGAUCAGAUACCGUCGUAGUCUUAACCAUAAACGAUGCCGACCAGCGAUUAGGAGACGUUGAAUACAAAACACCACCAUCGGUGCGGUCGUCCUUGGCGUCGGUCUUUCGGGGCCGGCGCGGGGACGGCUUAGCCCGGUGGCACCGGUGAAUGACUCCCUAG